RNAcentral lists this ribosomal RNA (253 nucleotides) under uncultured bacterium. RNAcentral describes it as "partial 16S ribosomal RNA". It matches the Rfam family "Bacterial small subunit ribosomal RNA", at positions 524 to 776 of the family's 1533-position model. The record is from RNAcentral.
AACGUAGGACACAAGCGUUAUCCGGAGUUAUUGGGCGUAAAGCGCGCGCAGGCGGUCUUUUAAGUCUGAUGUGAAAGCCCACGGCUCAACCGUGGAGGGUCAUUGGAAACUGGGAGACUUGAGUGCAGAAGAGAAGAGUGGAAUUCCACGUGUAGCGGUGAAAUGCGUAGAGAUGUGGAGGAACACCAGUGGCGAAGGCGACUCUUUGGUCUGUAACUGACGCUGAGGCGCGAAAGCGUGGGGAGCAAACAGG